Molecule: transfer RNA, 72 nt
Filed under: Stegodyphus mimosarum
Lineage: Eukaryota; Metazoa; Arthropoda; Arachnida; Araneae; Eresidae
Rfam family: tRNA
About the family: Transfer RNA (tRNA) molecules are approximately 80 nucleotides in length. Their secondary structure includes four short double-helical elements and three loops (D, anti-codon, and T loops).
Source: Rfam by way of RNAcentral
GCCUUCGUGGUGUAAUGGCAGCACACUGAGCCGGUAUUUCAGAGGUCCGUGGUUCUAUUCCCGGCGAAGGCC